This 420-nucleotide ribosomal RNA is filed under the name uncultured Leifsonia sp. RNAcentral describes it as "bacterial SSU rRNA". It matches the Rfam family "Bacterial small subunit ribosomal RNA", at positions 358 to 790 of the family's 1533-position model. The record is from RNAcentral. Lineage: Bacteria; Bacillati; Actinomycetota; Actinomycetes; Micrococcales; Microbacteriaceae.
GGAAUAUUGCACAAUGGGCGCAAGCCUGAUGCAGCAACGCCGCGUGAGGGACGACGGCCUUCGGGUUGUAAACCUCUUUUAGUAGGGAAGAAGCGAAAGUGACGGUACCUGCAGAAAAAGCACCGGCUAACUACGUGCCAGCAGCCGCGGUAAUACGUAGGGUGCAAGCGUUGUCCGGAAUUAUUGGGCGUAAAGAGCUCGUAGGCGGUUUGUCGCGUCUGCUGUGAAAACCCGAGGCUCAACCUCGGGCCUGCAGUGGGUACGGGCAGACUAGAGUGCGGUAGGGGAGAAUGGAAUUCCUGGUGUAGCGGUGGAAUGCGCAGAUAUCAGGAGGAACACCGAUGGCGAAGGCAGUUCUCUGGGCCGUUACUGACGCUGAGGAGCGAAAGCGUGGGGAGCGAACAGGAUUAGAUACCCCAG